Molecule: ribosomal RNA, 254 nt
Filed under: uncultured bacterium
Lineage: Bacteria
Description: partial 16S ribosomal RNA
Rfam family: Bacterial small subunit ribosomal RNA
Source: RNAcentral
UACGGGGGGUGGCAAGCGUUGUUCGGAAUUACUGGGCGUAAAGGGCGCGUAGGCGGGUGGACAAGUCUCUCGUGAAAGCCCACGGCUCAACCGUGGAAUUGCGGGAGAUACUGUCUGUCUUGAGUCCGGGAGAGGAGGGUGGAAUUCCCAGUGUAGCGGUGAAAUGCGUAGAUAUUGGGAGGAACACCGGUGGCGAAGGCGGCUCUCUGGACCUGUACUGACGCUGAGGCGCGAAAGCUAGGGGAGCAAACGGG